This is a non-coding RNA of Pelobates cultripes (western spadefoot toad), 294 nucleotides long. Lineage: Eukaryota; Metazoa; Chordata; Amphibia; Anura; Pelobatidae. The record is from the annotation of a GenBank genome assembly.
GAGGGAGUGGAGUAUAGUGACACAGUAACAGAGGGAUUGAGGGCCCUGCUCAGUGAGUUUACAUGCUAGAGGGAGUGGGGUAUAGUGACACAGUAACAGAGGGAUUGAGGGUCCUGCUCAGUGAGUUUACAUGUUAGAGGGAGUGGGGUAUAGUGACACAGUAACAGAGGGAUUGAGGGCCCUGCUCAGUGAGUUUACAUGUUAGAGGGAGUUGGGGUAUAGUGACACAGUAACAGAGGGAUUGAGGGCCUGCUCAGUGAGUUUACAUGUUAGAGGGAGUGGGGUAUAGUGACA